Molecule: ribosomal RNA, 321 nt
Filed under: Triticum aestivum (bread wheat)
Lineage: Eukaryota; Viridiplantae; Streptophyta; Magnoliopsida; Poales; Poaceae
Description: partial small subunit ribosomal RNA
Source: RNAcentral
AUGUCCGCGAACGCGCAGUUCUUCUGCUUCUGCUGCUGGGACGAGGUCCACGCCGCCGCCGCCGUCAGGUCGGCGCUCCACCGCAGCGCAGCCACCCCGACCGCCGCGCGCGCCUUGUUGUGCGGCGCCAGGAACUCGUCCGCCGUCGCCGUCGCGUUGGCCGCCGCCGCCAGCGCCUUGCUGACCCUGGCCGGCAGCGCGAGGCCGCCGUGGGCCGGCGCGGCGCACAGCGCGAGGAGGACGAGGAGGCACGCCGCGUGGUGGCGGCGCUGGGGAGCCAUGAGAUCUGGGGUGGGUGAGCCCAGUAAUGGCGAGCAGUGA